RNA transcript from Salvia miltiorrhiza (redroot sage), 3737 nucleotides. RefSeq lists it as uncharacterized. The transcript has 4 exons. NCBI's taxonomy places the organism in Eukaryota, Viridiplantae, Streptophyta, Magnoliopsida, Lamiales, Lamiaceae. The record is from RefSeq and is a predicted model, not a curated record.
CACAUAUGCAUUUAAACCUCCUCCGUUUAAAAUUCUCUUCUGUUCGAAAUUAAACUGAUAAAGCCUUUCCAAUUUUCCGUUAACAGAGCAGCGGAAUUCACAGACUGCAGAGAUUCAAUGGCGGCGGCUCUGCAGUAUUUGGAGUCGCUGCGCAAUGCGAACCCGGAGCUUUCCGAUUGGUACGCCGCGCUUUCGGAUCUCUACCAGCGUAAGCUAUGGCACCAGCUCACCCUCAAGCUCGAGCAAUUCGUCGUCCUCGCCGUAUUUCAGCAUUGUUGGGCAAAAGCAUCUACAAUUUUGGCGAACUUCUUGCACAUCCAGUUAUUAAAAGUCUUCUAGGGACUAUUUUUUAGUGGCUAUAUCAUAUUCUGGAAGCAUUCAACUCUGGCGAUUGAGUUCGUUAUCAAGAACUUUGCCGUGUCCAUGGAGCUGCUCUGAAUAGAUCAACAUUUUCUGUUUGAUGGAGAUUAUCUUCAGGUUAAUUAGGAAACUCAUUGCUGUUUUACAAACUGUGUUGCAUAAAAGGAAUUGCUUUGAUAUAUAUCUAGCAAAAUUCUUUAUGCAGUCAUCCAUCUGUGAGACCGAGGAAAUGCUUUCCCGCAUCAUCACAGUUGCCCAGUUUUAUCAUGGACUAGGUCAACACUUUUUUUAUAUAAGAUCCUUAAAAUAUACUGGUAGAUUAAUAAUAAGAAAAGAAAAAGAUGUAAGGAUUUGUUUUUUGAAGACUUUACCUAUGAAAUCCUCGACGACAACAGACAACACAUAUGUGCUGCAUUUGUAAGAGAAUGGUUGCUCAUCUUCGUCGUCCAAGAGCCUCUCUUGAUAGCUACAACUUGGAUUUCUACAAUUAAUGAUUUUAUCGCAAUCUAUUUGUUGAAAACUAUUUUUAACAUCAGCCGCCUUGAGUUGUACGCCGAGGUAGGAUAACAUUGGAGCCAACUCAUUUCCUUCCUCAUUGCACAUUGUACCUUUGAGUUUAAUUCGGUCGGUUCGCAUGUUGAACCAAGCGUCUACCACUUGGACCAUGCGCGUUACAUUUGUCUUCUUCGUGUCAACCUUUAUUUCUUUCAUAAAAUUAUGUAUGCGGUUACAAAUUGUUUGUGGCCAGUUAAUAUUUCUGAACUUCUUUAAAAAGGCACCAUAAACCAUGCACCCCAUUGGAAUCUUCCCUUGGGACUUAACAGAAAGGACAAAAGAAGUCAUGGUGUUAAGAUGUCUUCUGAAAUCAGUCUGGUCGUCCUCGGAUUCUAUGGUCAUUUGUUCAAUUAGUUCAGUCAUUAAUUUCAAAAAAACAGCCCGCCCUGCAUCACUAUCUUUACCAUACUUUUUACAAAGGUUUACAAAAUAGGUUGACAAGGUUGAAACUCUUUCCUCAUCAUAGACUUCUCCUUCACAUGGUAAUCUUGUGAGGUACGCGAUUUUCUCAGCGCACAUUUUAAGAUGACGGCCUUUAAUAAGGAGCGUCUCUGUCUUGCUAUCAUACAAAUCCACUAAUGCUUCAAAAAGCACCAGAUUAUUCUUCUUCUUUAUCGGUGCUCCAAUUAAUUUAUAGAUAUCUGAUUCCUUACAGAUAUAUUUCUUUUCAUUGGCAUUAAUAAAGUCAUCAGCCUCACAAAUUCUUGCUAACCUAGAUAAAUUAGAUCUGCAUUCGAAGUUUUACUGAUCUGAAAUCAAGAAUUUUGAUAUUCAUAUAUGCAAAAUAUAUGGAUAUUUUAACUAGGGAUGUCAAAAUUCUUGAUUUCAGAUCAGCAAAACCUCGAAUGCGAAUCUAAUUUAUCUAGGUUAGCAAGAAUUUGUGAUGCUGAUGGCUUUGUUAAUAAUGCCAAUGAGAAUAAAUUAAUUGGAACACCGAUAAAAAAGAAGAAGAUUCUGGUGCUUUUUGAAGCACUAGUGGAUUUGUAUGAUAGCAAGACAGAGGCGCUCCUUAUUAAAGGCCGUCAUCUUAAAAUGUGCACUGAGGAAAUCGCGUACCUCACAGGAUUACCCUGUGAAGGAGAAGUCUAUGAUGAGGAAAGGGUUUCAACUUUGCCAAUCUAUUUUGUACUCCCUCCGUCCCAUAAUAAGUGGCCACAUUCUUUUCGGCACAGAGAUUAAGAAAUUAAGUGUUAUAUGUUUUAAUAGAGUGUGGCCUACAAUUGUUGACCAAAUUAGUGAGUAAUUGUUGACUUAAUUAAAGUAAUUUUGGCAUUUUUAGAAAGUGGUCUACAAUUGUUGACCAAAUUAGUGAGUAAUUGUUGACUUAAUUAAAGUAAAUUUUUGCCAUUUUUAGAAAGUAGCCACUUAUAGUGGGACAGACGAAAAAGGAAAUGUGGCCACUUAUUAUGGGACGGAGGGAGUAAAAAGUAUGGUAAAGAUUGUGAUGCAGGGCAGGCCGUUUCUCUGAAAUUAAUGACUGAACUGAUUGAACAAAUGACGAUAGAAUCCGAGGACGACCGAAAUGAUUUCAGAAGACAUCUUAACACCAUGACUUCUUAUGUCAUUUUUGUUGAGUCCCAAGGGAAGAUCACAAUGGAGUGCAUGGUUUAUGGUGCCUCUUUAAAGAAGUUCAGAAACAUUAACUGGCCACAAACAAUUUGUAAUCGCAUACAUAGUUUUAUGAAAGAAAGAAAGGCUGACAAGGAGAAGACAAAUGUAACGUGCAUGGUCCAAGUGGUAGUCGCUUGGUCUAACAUGCGAACCGGUCGAAUUAAACCCAAAGGUACAGUGUGCAAUGAGGAAGUAGAUGAGUUAGCUCCAAUGUUAUCCUACCUCGGCGUACAAUUCAAGGCGGUUGAUGUUGAAAAUGUUUUUUAACAAAUAGAUUGCGAUAAAAUCAUUAAUUGUAUAACUCUCAAGAGAGGCUCUUGGACGACGGAGAUGAGCAGCCAUUCUCUUACAAAUGCAACACGUAUGUGUUGUUUGUUAUCGUCGAGGAUUUCAUAGGUAAAGUCUUCAAAAAACAAAUCCUUACAUCUUUUUCAGGUUCUUAUAUAAAAGAAGUGUUGACCCACCCAAUCCAUGAUAAAACUGGACAACUGUGAUGAUGUGGGAGAGCAUUUCCUCGGUCUCACAAAGGAGUCCACGCUACGGGCAACUUCAACCUUUGGCAGGCAUUGUCUAGCAAAGGGGAGAAGAUACUUCAAGGCGAUGCUCUCGAGGAGGAGGAGACUUAGAGUGAAGCAGAUACAAAGAGUAUGAUUAAUCAGGACGAUGCCCCAAAGAAAACAGGUGAAAUGACUACUGCUGGAUCAAGUGUGCAUUUCUCAAUGGAGUGCUCACUGAUGAAAGUGUACGUGGAACAACCUCCAGAAUUUGAGGUUUAUCUCAUCCAAGGAAUCAUUGACCAAGUUGAGGAGGGAACAGUUUAUGCUUCUUAGGUGCAGCCUAGAGUUUCAGGGAUUCCUCAGAUUAAGUCCUUACGCGAUGGAUAAAGUACACGCUGCCUUGCUAUCGGUCGAGGCAGAAACACCAGAUCUCGUUGCAGCUUAGUCCCUGCCACCAUGCUCCAUGGCUCCUUUUGCAGUAGUUGCUACCGAGGCCUCUCGUACCAAUCUCUGCUGCGUAAGCGUCAAGCACUUUACCCUCUAAAGAAGUAGAAUUUUUAUGUUUCCUUGUAAUUAUUUUGCAAGACUAUGAUCAGUAUCAACUUGCCUUAGAAAUUGUCUGUCUGCUGCAUUAAUCAGUAAUGGUUAGGUUAUUGAUGUAUUAUUGGAAAAUGUUAUGAAUUGGCAUUUUAUAUGGUUACACUUUUCUUUAAA